Molecule: small nuclear RNA, 103 nt
Organism: Jaculus jaculus (lesser Egyptian jerboa)
Lineage: Eukaryota; Metazoa; Chordata; Mammalia; Rodentia; Dipodidae
Source: Ensembl
UGUGUCUCAUUUCAAAAUAUACUAAAACUGGAAUUAUAAGAGAAGAUUAGCAUGGCCCUUAUACAAAGAUGACACCCAAAUUUGUGAAGCAUUUCAUAUUUGG